RNAcentral lists this ribosomal RNA (539 nucleotides) under Bifidobacterium bifidum. RNAcentral's name for it is "bacterial SSU rRNA". It matches the Rfam family "Bacterial small subunit ribosomal RNA", at positions 160 to 711 of the family's 1533-position model. The record is from RNAcentral. Lineage: Bacteria; Bacillati; Actinomycetota; Actinomycetes; Bifidobacteriales; Bifidobacteriaceae.
GUGGUAAUGCCGGAUGUUCCACAUGAUCGCAUGUGAUUGUGGGAAAGAUUCUAUCGGCGUGGGAUGGGGUCGCGUCCUAUCAGCUUGUUGGUGAGGUAACGGCUCACCAAGGCUUCGACGGGUAGCCGGCCUGAGAGGGCGACCGGCCACAUUGGGACUGAGAUACGGCCCAGACUCCUACGGGAGGCAGCAGUGGGGAAUAUUGCACAAUGGGCGCAAGCCUGAUGCAGCGACGCCGCGUGAGGGAUGGAGGCCUUCGGGUUGUAAACCUCUUUUGUUUGGGAGCAAGCCUUCGGGUGAGUGUACCUUUCGAAUAAGCGCCGGCUAACUACGUGCCAGCAGCCGCGGUAAUACGUAGGGCGCAAGCGUUAUCCGGAUUUAUUGGGCGUAAAGGGCUCGUAGGCGGCUCGUCGCGUCCGGUGUGAAAGUCCAUCGCUUAACGGUGGAUCUGCGCCGGGUACGGGCGGGCUGGAGUGCGGUAGGGGAGACUGGAAUUCCCGGUGUAACGGUGGAAUGUGUAGAUAUCGGGAAGAACACCA